Molecule: ribosomal RNA, 429 nt
Filed under: Gemmatimonadota bacterium
Lineage: Bacteria; Pseudomonadati; Gemmatimonadota
Description: Gemmatimonadetes bacterium partial 16S ribosomal RNA
Rfam family: Bacterial small subunit ribosomal RNA
Source: RNAcentral
UAGGGAAUCUUCGGCAAUGGACGAAAGUCUGACCGAGCAACGCCGCGUGAGUGAAGAAGGUUUUCGGAUCGUAAAACUCUGUUGUUAGAGAAGAACAAGGACGUUAGUAACUGAACGUCCCCUGACGGUAUCUAACCAGAAAGCCACGGCUAACUACGUGCCAGCAGCCGCGGUAAUACGUAGGUGGCAAGCGUUGUCCGGAUUUAUUGGGCGUAAAGCGAGCGCAGGCGGUUUCUUAAGUCUGAUGUGAAAGCCCCCGGCUCAACCGGGGAGGGUGAUUGGAAACUGGGAGACUUGCGUGCAGAAGAGGAGGGUGGAAUUCCAUGUGUAGCGGUGAAAUGCGUAGAUAUAUGGAGGAACACCAGUGGCGAAGGCGGAUCUCUGGUCUGUAACUGAAGCUGAGGCUCGAAAGCGUGGGGAGCAAACAGG